GAUCCUGGCUCAGGAUGAACGCUAGCGGCAGGCCUAAUACAUGCAAGUCGAGCGGCAAGUCGAGGAGUAAUCUAAGACCUAGAGCGGCGCACGGGUGCGUAACGCGUAUGCAACCUACCUUAUACUGGGGUAUAGCCCGGAGAAAUUCGGAUUAAUCCCCCAUAGUACUAUUUUACCGCAUGGUAAAAUAGUUAAAGCAUUGCGGUAUAAGAUGGGCAUGCGUCCUAUUAGCUAGAUGGUGAGGUAACGGCUCACCAUGGCUACGAUAGGUAGGGGGCCUGAGAGGGUGGUCCCCCACACUGGUACUGAGACACGGACCAGACUCCUACGGGAGGCAGCAGUGAGGAAUAUUGGUCAAUGGGCGCAAGCCUGAACCAGCCAUGCCGCGUGCAGGAAGAAUGCCCUAUGGGUUGUAAACUGCUUUUAUUUGGGAAUAAACCUCUUUACGUGUAGAGAGCUGAAGGUACCAAAUGAAUAAGCACCGGCUAACUCCGUG
This 496-nucleotide ribosomal RNA is filed under the name uncultured bacterium. RNAcentral describes it as "bacterial SSU rRNA". It matches the Rfam family "Bacterial small subunit ribosomal RNA", at positions 15 to 507 of the family's 1533-position model. The record is from RNAcentral.